UGUUUGUGUCAAUCGUGAACGCAGAGGGACAACUCCAGGCGGACGCAGCCAGGCUUCAUUUGUCUCCAAGUGACUGACACAAGAACCUGAUGUGAAGGCGAUCUGCAAUUGUUUUUUUUUCCAGCAAGAAAGGAAAGAGCAAGGUGUAGCUGAUUAGCAAGUUAAUUAUUUCAGUAUCCCAAGGGUUCCGGUGUGGUGGAAGCAGCCCACGGCAUCAGGCUCUGGAGAGCCAACUUCCUGACUUCAGUGAUGUGAAGAUGGUCUAAUACGUUUUUGGUGCCGGCAAGCAGCUGUCCCCCAAGCAGGUUGGCUGAUACCCCUGCUGGUGGAAAGGGGCCGGGGGC
This 344-nucleotide long non-coding RNA is filed under the name Neogale vison (American mink). RNAcentral's name for it is "Neovison vison (American mink) lncRNA (ENSNVIG00000000644.1)". Lineage: Eukaryota; Metazoa; Chordata; Mammalia; Carnivora; Mustelidae. The record is from RNAcentral.